This 1157-nucleotide long non-coding RNA is filed under the name Populus trichocarpa (black cottonwood). RNAcentral's name for it is "long non-coding RNA (PTRI_LNC002337)". Lineage: Eukaryota; Viridiplantae; Streptophyta; Magnoliopsida; Malpighiales; Salicaceae. The record is from RNAcentral.
UUCUGUUCAAGUACACAAAUUAUAAGCCAUUGAAAUACAAAGUGGGUAAAAACAACUAUUACAUCUCCCUUGUUUUUGUAAGUGACCAUUUCAAUGGUCAACAUCAGAUAACAAUACUGGCAGGUCCCUCAUUGGAUCCGACGGCAGAGAGUGAUGCCAUCACCAACAGGAAGCAUGCAAAUUUCAAUCCUGGGGUCAGCAGCAAGUGCCUUGUUGAGCUCCAAAACAAAGUCCCUGUAGUACCUCACAUACUUCCUCAUUGGUGCAUCAGGUGGAGCCACCACAGAUCCAUUCCACAGAGUGUUGUCGUACCCAAUCAGCCCACCAACUUUUACAAGCUCAAUCAACCUCUUGUGAUAAUUUAUAUAAUUGUCCUUGUCAGCAUCCACAAAGAUGAAAUCAAAACUUCCAUGGCACUUCCCCUGCGUUUUCCCAGACAGAAUAGUAAGAUUAGUAAUAGUCAUAUAAUUUAUAUAUCAAGUUAAAAAACGAGCAUCGUUUCUUUUUCUCAUACAAGUAGACAAAAAAGGAUGUUUUUCCCUCUUCCAUUUUCAUUUUUUGUCGAACAUAGAGUAUUUCUUACAUCUUCAAUCAUUUGAUCAAGAACUGGUAGAGCAGGGCCUUCCUUGAAAUCAAUCUUGUGCGCAACACCAGCUUUCUGAAUUACUGGGAGACCCAAUUCGUAGUUUUCUCUGUUGAUGUCCAUAGCCAAGAUCUGCAAGAAACAAAAUCCCAUUUAUUUUUUAUCAUCACAUGAAUUUAUUUAUUUAUUUAUACUUAAUAAAUUUUGAUUUGGGACCGAGACAUUUUAAGUUUUUAGUUUACCUUGCCAUCCUCAGGGAUAGCCAGGGCAGUGGCCAAGAGAGAAUAGCCAGUGUAAACACCGAUCUCCAUGGUGUUUUUGGCAUUGACAAGCUUCAAAAGCAUAUUCAAGAAUUGCCCUUCAUCAGCAGAUGUGGUCAUGAUGUUCCUGUUUCCCAUCAUUCACGUCAAAUUUAUUAACAUCACACCAUAAGCAUUAAUAUCAGACAAAAUCUCUUAUGUUUAUGUAUUUAAAUGUAUGUGAAAAUCAAGAAACAUACCAAGGAUGCUUGGCAGUCACCUCCCUGAGCUCCUUCAUGCAUUCAGGCUCUCUUGGAUACACACUAGUCUCGAGA